UUCAAUUAUUCUGUAUAUAUAUAUUAUUUAGAGAUUGUACAUAGAAUAUCAGCCCGUUGAAGAACAGUAUAUUUGCUCGAAAGCUUGCAAAUUUAAAUCAAAAGAAAAUUUUUACCUGAUAUUGAUUUUUACUUUUUCAAAUAAUUUCUGGGUAACUAUUGGUCACACAACAAAAGCCUUUAUUAUGGACACUUGUUCCAUACAGGAGGAUUCUUCUAGAUCAGGGCUCGGCAACCUGCGAGCCACAUGUGGCUCUUUGGAUGUGAAGUUAUGUGUAGUACUUGUGUAAAUAGAGUUUUUAUUUAUGCGAGUACUACAAGGUAGUCCCAAUAUUAUUCGCCUUUAUGUAUAAUGUCUUUGUUGUGUCUGGAUGCUAUAUUUAUGGCGAACUAAAUAACUUAGUCCCUAUUUCUGCUCCGCGCUUAUGGAAUUGAAGACUUGGGGCGAUGACGUCGGCCUUUCAUAUUAAAUCUUACUUUUCCUUAUUACUAAUAAUUGUAUAUAGUUGCGGAACUACUGGUUUCCUGUGCUGCUCUUUUCCUGUUAUUGCACCUUGUACGGAGAAUCUGUAUAAGACUAAUGUCUUAAUAAAGGCUUUGUGUGUGUGUGUAUAAUGUCUUUGUAUUAUGUAUAAAGUAAUUGUAUUAUGUAUUAUUAUGUAUUUGCCAUAAUAAUAUUAUUCACCAAGUAAUAAGAAAAACAACGUUUUAAAAAAAAAACUUUUGGGACAACCUUAUAUUUAUUGUUGGCAAGACAAAAGUGUGUGUGUGUUGUGGCUCUAAAAAAAACUUAGAAAUUUUAUAAAUGGUAAUUUUUUACUCUUCUAACUCAAAGGUUUGCCGACCUGUACUAGAUGGUUAAACAGAAGAAACAGUUAUAUACAGAAAGUGGUGAAUAACAUCAAUAUUUCCUCAAGUUGGGUCCCUCUUCUAUGUUAUGCCUAUUGACUAUGCUGCUGUUCCCCAGAAUUUGUGAAAAUCCAAUGCAUUGGUCCUGCUUUUCACUACUUUUUCCAAUAAAACAUAAGGCGAAUUGUUUUCAUACGCAAUCUUUUGGCGGAGAAUUACUCUCUCAUCCUCCAAAGCCGGACAGUAAAACGUGUAGUACUUUCCAUUAAUUGAAUAAAUUGACAAUAUGACAUCAUUUCCUUAUUUCGUAAGCUAACAGGUGAUAGUGUCAUGUCCAACCAAUGAUCAUGAUAAAUCAUGUCGGAUUUAAGAAAUAGCCGGUCCCGUGGUUAGGCUUCCAAUCGAGAAGUGAUUGUAUAUACAAGUUAUCUACAAAUCGCUUGAAAUCAACACGUAACAAUAAAUAUGAAUAUAAUUUUUUUUUUAUAUAAAUAUACAAAAUGUGUGUGCGACCUUUUUGGGUAAAAUGGCACUAUUCGUAUCUAAACAUACUCUUUUUUCAUUCUUUUUUGGAAUAAGGGAAAACUGGGGCUGUUAUGGGGAAUGUGAAUUUACCGAUUUUAUCCUUUAUUACAUAGGUAGAGAAAUAUUCAGAACUCUUGUCUUAUAUUAGAUUCUUUCAAACAACCUCACGCUCGAAAACAAUUGAGUUUUCAUUAUUGGAGAAUCUAUAUUAUAAAAAAGAUGAAAAGGUUGUUCGUUUGUGUGCUUGCUUGGUAUGCAUACGUUUCCACAUUACUUGACUUACCCAGAUGAAAUUUUGACCCCAUAUAAAGUCUGCAAGAAGUAACUGUCAUAGUUUUCACCCUGAAAUAUACUAUUUAGUCUGAUAAUAGACGAGUAUGUAUAUUUCCUUUGAAACUCAAUUAAAAGUAUCAGCCGUUUUUGUGGCGUAAUUGGCGGCAGGCAUUCCCGGAUGCAUGCCACAUUAUGUCGACGUUAUGUGUUAAAACCCUUACAAUCGUUUAUUAUUAGAUUUAAUUAUAUAUCGAUUUAAGACUACACCAGGGAGCCCUAAAUUUUAGGUAAAUUUAAAAUUGAAACUUAAACCUGGUGUUUUAAAAAUCAACUGACAAAUGUAUAGGUACAAAUUUAAAAUAUUCUUAAAUUAAAGAAAAUAAAAUAGGUAUUAACAUUAAUUAUUUAAAAAAACGAUCCAUUUUUAUCGUAUUCGAGAGAGAAAGAGAGAUGUUUUAGUAUCUAUUUAUUAAGUUUUAACAUCAAAUAUUAUAAGAAACUAUUACCUUAAGUGAUAUCUAUUAUAUAUAUAAAAGUUUUUUCCGUCACUACUACUAUUAAUGCUGAAAAUUAAUAUACAAUAAAAUAUAUCUUGGUCAAUACAAUAUUGUACGAGCAAACAUUCACUUAUAAGGAUCCCUCAAAUGUCAGAUCAUUCUUAUAGUUAUGGAUAGUUUGUAGCUUCAAGUUGGUGGUCCAAUUGGAUAGUAUCUUUCUAUCACCGCUCUCCCAACAACUUUAAUAUGUGGCAUCGUACAGUAUUCGUUAUACGUAUGGCUCUUCUUUUCUCUCCGAUCCCUAAUCGACCUUCCAGCAGCAACAUGGUAUUGCCUCUUCUGGUAUUUCGUUUACUACUGGCUGCUCUACUCAUCCACCUCGCUAGCAUCAGCUUCCUGCUCUCAUUCUAUUGUAUGUCUAUUCUAGUGAAGUAGCGAAGGCUGCAAGUUCCAUCUUGAGGUGGGCAAUGCCAAAUCGACCUGUAGGAAAGAACUCUGGCGGUCCAUCGUUGGCGGAUUUUUCCAGAGGUGGAAGACACAAAUGAAGACAUUGUAUAUUUAUUUUAUGCCAAUAUUAUUUAUUUUCUUAUUUAACAUCAUUACAUAAUAUUAUAGGAACGAUUUAAUGAGAGUGCACUUUUCAAUCUCAAUCUAUCCUACUAACAUUUUUCUUCUUUAUAUCUUCUAUUCUUUCUUCUUUUCUUUAUUACUUUAGCUUCUUCUUGUGCAUAGCUUCUUUUUUUAUCCUUAUCUCCUAUAUACUAGCUUAUUUUUAUUAUCUUUUUUCUAUCGUUUUUCUUUUUUCCAUUGUCUUCUUCUACUCUUUUACUAGCUCAUUUUCUUCUUUUUAAAACCAUCCUUUAAAAACACAAGUUAUCUUUAAACAUAAGGCAAAAGCGAGCCUUCUAUGUUCAAGAAAUGAAAUAAUUAAAAGCACGAAUUUUUCUUGUAAAGUCGAACAUACCUCCUGCUGUUCUUAAAGCGGUGUUCUUGUAGAGUUGACUUUACCGCGGCACAUGUUCUUGCGAAGUCUAGCCGGCAAAAUUACCAUGUUAUGGGAUUCGAAACUGGAAUCUUCUGCCUGUAGUCAGACACGCAGCAACACGCCGAUUGGGCUUUGAGAGAAUUGUUUAUAAUAAACAAUGAAAUUAGAAUAUACUCUCGUAGGUGUCAGAUGUAAAUGUACGCGCUGAGUAGACAAGAAACCUACAAGUAUAUAUAAAGGCAGUAUGCAAGAAUUAUAGUAUGCCAAUUAUUUGUCAAAAGUAUGCCAAUUAUUUGACGAACAUAAGCAGUUUUAGGAGAGAAUAAUGUUGUUUAUUUGUUAAGUGAACUGAUCUUCCAAACCUCAUUGGACGAAUGUGGCCAUGUUUGUACAUAAAAAAGGUUCAAAGGGAAUGCGAGGACUCUUCCAGUAGGGAUUGAGUGGAGACGUCGUUCUCUGUGUCAGGUGAUCUCACAUACCUGUGUAACCCCGGUCCGUUCAUUAUCAACGCUGCAAUAAAAGAUAAGUACAGGUUUUGUUAUAACUUAUCGUGUUUUUUAUUUACGUCCUUCCUUUUUAUUUGCUGUACUUUUGAAUGUACGCGUUUCUGUGUAAAGUUACUUUUAGUUUAGACCCUAUUACAUUUUUGUUUGCGUGUAACCCGUUUAAAAAAAUUCUGUCAAUAUGUUCUCAGGUUAAACUGGUUCUCAUAAUUCCUCGGUAGUAUAGUGGUUAGUAUUCCCGCCUGUCACGCGGGCGACCGGGGAGCUUUUUUUUUUUCUUUCUUCUAUUGGUCGUGUAAAAUGGUACACUCGGAAUAAACAAAUUAUUACAAUAAACUAUACAUCAAUAACCUAUCGCUCUCUAUCACUGAAAAUCAGAAACAUUUUUAACAAUAUAUUUUUAAAUAUGUAUUUAAAAUGUAUUUCUCUACAACCUUUUAUUCAUUGCUGUAAAUUUAUAGUUACUAGUGAACGUUUAGGGAUUUAAAUAGAGCAAAUAAGUUUUUCUUCUCGCGUGGGGAGAGAAGUUUUCCACCUUUGUACCUAGUUGUGUGGCAAGCGUUACCUACCUAUACGCGUUAAAUGUCUAGAAAUGGCCAUGGCGCGUGCUCUGUUUUAAUUCUAUAGUUUUGUUAAUAUAAGACUUUGAUUUUGAGAAAAGAGAUUGGUUUUGGUUGUUUUAUAGUUUCUCUUGAAUGAUGUCUGAAUACCAGGUUAUAACCAUAAAUCCACACACACACACGUUCCAUUCCCCAUUUAGACUUCCUCAUAAAUUAUUCGUUUUUAUCUGCGUCUAUUUCAAGCAUACUUUCACAUGUUUCUCGGAAUCUCUGUUCAAGUGUGUAAGGUAUCUAGAAACAAACUUGAUCAACUUUUUAUCCAAUUUCAGAUUUUCAUAAAUUAUGGAAUGAAUUAAUCCCCUUUUAAAGAGCCAACUCACUAUAUCUGAAAAUUCCUAUAGGUGUAUUUAUUUAAAUGUUCGGCAAUAUUUCCUUCAAAUUAACUUAUAUUUGUUUCUAUUAUUUUUACCUAUAAGCCUCCGACUCUUGUAUCAUCUUAGUCUGAGAUUCAUCCAUCUUUGAAAAAGACAUGCCAUUCAUCGGCUGCCACUUUUAGGAAUUCAUUUGGAAGCGUUGACAACGUUUCUAUUGCUGGAAUUCCAUUGUGUCCAUUUCGUUGCUUGGAAUUAUUUAGUAUCACAGAAUACCGACAGUAACGCGUUGUUAGUAAUUAAAAAUUAACUUGUUGGGAUGAUGUUUAAUAAAUAUUUAUAGAGAAAAUAAUGCACGCGUUUUUAAAGGCUUACGCAACUGGUAAAUACGGGGCAUUCAUGUUGUCUGCGCGCACAGUUAGAUUUUAAAGAACAAAUAAUCACAUCCAUUUCGGCGAUUUAAGGGCAGUACCUGGUACACUCUCUAAACUCACUCACUAAACCUUUCAACUUAAUUCUUGACGUUUUGGCGAACCAUUUGUAGGAAUCCAAAUUUCAAUAAUGGGAUUUUGUUGCCAUUGUUCACCCAAGUUACCUAAGAUAUGAGAUGAGAGAGAGAGAGAAUAUAUCAAUAAUUACUUAUAUUUAUGUUAUUUGGUAAAAGAUACCUUCACACACUGGUUUAGUAAGCAGCUUCUUGAGCAUCUUGAUAUAAAGGUGAGCCAUGCCGAUGUAUGAAAACAGCCUGAAAACUCCUCCCAAAUCUGUAUGGAAAUCUACUGUCCUCAAAGCUUAUGUCCAUAGUUCAUCUAAAAUACCCAUUCCAAGAGUCUAGCAACAGUCUCACUAUAAAAGAUAGAUCGAAAAAAUGCAAUAUACGAGCAGCGGUAUGGUAGAUUAAACUGGUGGUGGUGUCUUGUCCAAGGAGCAGAUCAGAUUGCUCCGUGCACCCUGAUCACCGGCCAACAAAGGUUGCUCCAUGGAAUGUGGGGUGACAUUGCCCCGUUAAUCAGCCACAUUUCAGAGUUCCCUGUUCACGGUUACCGUAGCAGCUCGGGACUCACGACACCGUACUACAGGGCAGUCCCUUACUUACUUGUGCUGCUUCUCCCGCCAACCACGUACAGUAUUUACGUUAUAAGUGAGGCAAUUGAAAAACGAGUAAGUCCGAGUCCAACUUUGCAACGUUAUGUUUUGUUCUUUCAGAGGAAUUAUGCUCUUGUGAUAAUAAACAGAAAAAACUCUAUAUCAUUAUGAUACGAAAAUAUAUAACAAUAAUAAAACUAACGGAGAAUAUAACUCUAUGACUAUUGUUUUUAAAGUUUCUUUCCUAAUUCGAACUUGGUAACUUAGAUCUAUAGUCAAACAUGAUAUCCAUUGUUGCGCCACACCCCUACUACAUUCUGUCUCUCUUUUCUGUAAAAUACAAGUGUAUAUCAAACGUCUAUAUCAAAAGAGAAUCAUACGCGUCUAUAAUAGUUUCGAAUUUUCAUAACAGAUGGCGCUCUAAUGCAUCAUAAUAUCAAAAGAGUAAGUAUAUAGUAAAAGGUAGACGAGGAGUAGAUAGAAAGUAUUCAGGAAGUAGACAAUAAAUCCAGUCAGAACACGGACAUUUAUCAUGUUGUAGAGUUUCUAACGUUAUAUAUAAAUAGGAGGAAUCGCGGUAUAAUCCAUGGAAGCAUCCAUAGUCCCCUGUGUUAUAGGACAGAAUACCUUGUAAGGUGUACAGUACUAUUUUUUAAAGAGAAGUAUAAAAGGAACGUAAAACACUACAAUCUUACAUAUACCAUCAUAGAUAUGGAGAUGUGCAUCAAUACAUGUCAGUGAAACACAGAGAAGAGCGGCGUAUUACGUUGUAAACACUUAUAGAACAGAAUAAGAACCAUAGCAAUACGUUUCUUUAUUUGUGUAAAGGGCAAGCUUUCGGAUCUUUAUAAUCCUUCCAUAGGUAUAGCUAUAAGUUGAGAGAAUGAGGAUAUAUUAAAAUAUACAAUAUUAUUUACAUAUAUAUUCAAUACUAUAUAUAGAAUACUAUGUAUUUGAUCUUCGCAACAAUACCUUUUUUUUUUUUAAAUGCGAACUUUUAAUUUUUCAAGCUGAAUUUUCGCAUUAAACAUGCAUUUACCUUUAAAAAUUAACUACUUUAAAUAAAUAUGUAAGUUAACUCAUUUAAAAUUUGAAUUGUAUAAACGAGUUAAAUAAUAUAUUAUUAUUUAUUUUUCUCAAAUAAAACGAAUGUGUUAACGACUUCAAAAAACACCACGGUGUUGAAAGUAAAAUAGUUCUGAAAUCUUCCGAUAGGUGGCAGGAGAUGUCCAUGAUUGUUUGUAGUAAUAUUGAUGGUCCCUUUCGAUUGAAAACUGAAUUAGUGAGGUGAAUCAAUGUAUACAUACUUAUUGUUUUAUAAUUUUCGAAUAAAUCCUGUGAGGAGAAUAAAAACAUAAUAUUUUCAAAUAUUACUCAUAUAUACCCACUCAUGGACAAAACUUAAGUUUCAUAGUUUGAGGCGCUGGUCGUCUGAUUUUUUUUUUUUUUUUUUUUUUUAAAGGAGACAGAGGCAAUUUUGUUCAUAUUUGGUGUUAUCUCGUGUGUCUUCAAUAAAGGUCACUGUGUACCAAAUAUAUUUCAGAUUUAUUGUCUGAAUCGCGAUAUACAUUCUAAAAGGUACAACUUAUUUAGGUCUUGUUCCCACAUUAAUGCAUAUAUAUUUCGUUUAUUUUUGCUCCACUAGAUGGCGCUCUGCCAUCUAAAAAGCACAUGUGCUCGUGGUCAGGAGAUGCCUUUUUAUUUUUAAUAUCAACACCUGCCCCACUUAUCUUUUAUUUUUUUCUAUUGUUUUUUCAUAUAUAUAUGUGCGAACCUUUUUCUCGAAAAAAAAAAUUCUAAAUAUCCAUCCAUAAAGUCAAACAAUUAUCAAUUCUUGUUAAUCUUGCUGGUAUCAAUGCUUGGUGUGCGAUGAAAAGGCACUUUUAAAUGUGAUUUUAAAACUGAAGUAUUUCUUUUACCCACAAACUCCAAUAAGAUAUUAUACAAUGCAAAAUAUCUAAAUAAACUUCCCAUACAUCAUCCUACAAUAGUGUGUCUAUAUAUCAUGUGAAUAGUUAUUUGUUCCAAAUAUAUCUGGAUUUCUCUUAUAUGUGACAUUUUAAGACCAAGAAAAAGAUAGACAUAUUUCUCUACCGUCAAAAUAGACAUACAAACUUUGUGCCAUUUAUUGACAGUCUACGUAAACUAGCAGACUUGGAUCAGUUAGGAAAAUCUACAAUUCCUCCCUGGCAACUUCUGAACGCUUACCUAAAGACCAAGGGUUCUGGCUAAAUGGCUCUCGUCAGUUCAAAACCGUUUUGUGUGAUUCAGGAGAACUACCAUCUACUUUGUUUUUAUGUAUAAAGAGGAAAUAAUUCCUUAUGAUGAAAUCUCAAUCUAUGUUCUUAAUAUAGAAUUGGCCCUACACUUUGCCAGCUGAACACUCAUUUCAAAAUAUUUCGUGAUUCACUAGAUGAAAUCAAAACAGCCUUAGUCGGUCAAAAACCAUAGUCCGAGAUCAUAGUCACCAACCAGAUAGGCGUUCACAUAUUGUUAAAUCUGGUGUUGUGACUGUGUGUCACUGAACCGAAUCCAGGGGUUGUAGAGACGGUCCUCUGAUAUAGCGCUGAGUUUUACUGCUUUUUUUUUUUUAUGUGAAAUGGGUGUCUUUUGUUUUGUAAACUAAUGAGUGGUACUUACUAAAGACAAACAUUUCAAAUAGAACGCUUUUUCCCCAUUUCUAAAAAAAAAAAAAAGAAUAUCAUAUGUCUUUAAUGUUGAGGUAUUUAACAAACAUAUUAAUUAGUUUUACCUAAUCAUUUAUGUAUCAUAUAAUGUCUUGUAAUAUUUAAGGGAUAGAAAUUGUAAAAGUUGGAAUAUAUCCAAAACGAUGUUGAUUUUUCGAAUAUCAAUAUAUGUAAAUGGUAGAAGAGAUGUCAAAUAAAGAGAAGUAUUACCACAUCAAAUAUACUUAACACUAUUUAAAAAAAAAAAAAAACACUAAUUAACACUUAAUUAACACUAUUUAGUUUGAGAUCGUUGGUAAAAAUAUAUAUAUUCUUUACUAAUAUAGGCAUGGUUAACAUUCUAAAAAUUUCCGUUUAUAUCUAAUAAUUCUAAAUUGAGUUGCGAACCAUUUCUACUUAUUGUCUAUAGAAUGUACAUGGCUAAAUUAGAAUA
This is a non-coding RNA of Cordylochernes scorpioides, 8768 nucleotides long. NCBI's taxonomy places the organism in Eukaryota, Metazoa, Arthropoda, Arachnida, Pseudoscorpiones, Chernetidae. The record is from the annotation of a GenBank genome assembly.